Long non-coding RNA from Sapajus apella (tufted capuchin), 1656 nucleotides. RefSeq lists it as uncharacterized. The record is from RefSeq and is a predicted model, not a curated record. The transcript has 3 exons. Lineage: Eukaryota; Metazoa; Chordata; Mammalia; Primates; Cebidae.
UGUGAGCCACCAUGCCUGGCAGAGAGUUGUGUGUUGAUAAAAUGACCCUCAACAGUGCCCAGAGUGUGUUAAAAUCUCAAAGAACUCAGAAGUGAAGAGAAGAUGGUGUGUUUUGGAAAACAGAGUUAGAAGACGCAAGAAGUACUUCUUGAAGAUGAGGACACUGAUAUUGACGACACAGGUGAUGGAGGUGAGCAAAGGGACUUGAGUGCCAAGCAGAAGAAGCGCGUCUUCCAAAUUCAUGCACUGCAUGAGGGUGAGGCAGCCACUGUACCGUCAACCCAGACAUUUAUAAGAGGUGGCGCCGUGGGCUUGUUCUUCUUUACACAAAUUCUAGUUGGGUGUUUGUGGGUGGUCUUCCGCAAGGCGGCUCAGGGCCCAGGCCCUUUCCUUGUGGUGGCUUCACCAUCUCCUAGGUACCAGUGUCUCGGGAGGAUUCCUGGCAUCCAGCCAGCAGAUGGUGAAGACUUGGGAAGGAUGGGUGUGGGGAGUUUCCAAGGCCAGGUGUGCCCACCAUUAUGUCCCAGUCUCACUGGACAGACUGUCAUGUGACCGUCCUGAGUGCAAGGCUGGGAAAUGGAGACGACCUGCAUUGUCAGGAGUAAGAGGAAGCAAUGUGAUGGACGGCCGGCUAGUCUCUACCCCACACCCUGUCUUAUCUCGCUUUUGAUUUCAAAAAGCAUUUCUAAUUUAAUUAAUGAUUUACAGUGUAUAAGCACUCUUGUGACUUUUCCAUCCACAAUCAAAACAUUGACAUAUUCAAGAGGGAUAGAAAACAUUUAGAGGAUCCAGUUGGACAUUGACCUGUAUUUAUGAUUCCCUUGUAUGUAGGACAAGUGUUAGUUCUUGGUUUGGAAAGAUGUUUGCACUAGAUUCAGCGAAAAAAGCAAGUUGAAGAAGAGUUCACAGCUACAGAGUUCCUACUGUCACCUGCACGUCAACAACUCGGGAGAUACUCAUGGCAGGCCUUCAUGUGCCAGACCAGGGUUCAGGGCAGCGAGGCACUCAUGCCUGCCGGCAGGAGGCUUACCCCCUUCAUCCGGAAGGUUCCACAAAGCCAAGUAGGGUAGGAAAGCGUGGGCAAGAAUGAGAAGGAGGUGCACAAAGGCCAGGCAGCACUGAGAUCUGACGGACUGGUGUCUGCUCAAGAGAAUUCAAACAGGCGCUCAGACAGAUACCAUAGCAGCAUUAUCCACAAUAGCCAGAGGCUGGACACUACCAAGGGUCUGUCACUGAUGAACAGGUAAACACAGCGUGGUCCGUGCAUCCAAUGUAGUGUUACUUGGCCACGAAAAGGAAAGAAGUUCUGAGUCCCACCACAGCCUGGCCUGGAAACCGUGAUGCAGUCAUAAAUGUGACGGCAUAUUGUAAUUCCGUGUAUGUGAAAUGUCUGCAGUAGGCAAAUCCAUAAACACAUAAAGUUCACAAGUGGUUGCCAGGAGUCGGGGCAGGAGUCAGGAGGGGGAGUGGGAGUGGCUGCUAAUGGAGACGGGGAUUCUGUUUUGGGGUUAAGGGAGUGCCCUGGUGCUAGACGGAUGGUGCUGCUGGUUGCAACAACUCUGUGAAUGUACUAAAUGCCACUGUAUUGUCCAGGUUAAAAUAGGCAGGGUGGCAUGGUGGCACACACCUAUAGUGCUAGCUACUCGGGAGGCUGAG